Clupea harengus (Atlantic herring) is the source of this 2043-nucleotide long non-coding RNA. NCBI's taxonomy places the organism in Eukaryota, Metazoa, Chordata, Actinopteri, Clupeiformes, Clupeidae. The record is from Ensembl.
CAUAUAUGUCUCGGGUUCAGCCUGAUGAUCUGUACUGAGCAGCAUCUCGUAUAUGUCUCGGGUUCAGCCUGAUGAUCUGUACUGAGCAGCAUCUCAUAUAUGUCUUGGGUUCAGCCUGAUGAUCUGUACUGAGCAGCAUCUCGUAUAUGUCUCAGGUUCAGCCUGAGGUUCAUUGUCAAAACAUCCACAAGUGGGGUUUUCAUCUACAGGCCCUUUUAGACUGGGUGGGCAAUGGUGGGCGUCAUUCAGAGCUGAGAGUGACCCUUAUGAUCUACAGCAUCUAAGAGUCACUCAUGUUCUUUUGUUCCCCCUUAUACAUGUGUGUAUUGGGCAUUGGAUUUAUGUGUGGAUGGAACAGUGUAUCCACAGAAUGUUGCAUAUUAGAUUGAGCAUUUAUCCACAUUACUCCAUCUUUUGAUGGGACUGAACAUUCACAUAAAAGUUUGCUGUGUGUGUAACUAUGAGUCAUUUCGUUUUAUGUGUGGCUGAUAUUUGACUUAUUUUUGCAUUGCACACUGCUGGACUGAGCCAUAACAAAGCCAGCCAAUCGACGCACAGCUUCAGGAGCAGGUAAAUCCAUCCUUGCUAGGAGAAGGAAUCACAUUCUCAUCAAAAGACCAUUCAUGACCUUCUGUUCCUGUCUCCCUCACUACCAUCCACGUCCAAGGCUAUCUUUUCAAAAGGUGUUGUUAUCUGACAUGUGACCAUUGUAAUUAUGAGAGAGCGAGAGAGAGAGAGAGAGAGAGAGAGAGAGAUAGAUAGAUAGAUAGAGAGAGAGAGAGAGAGAGUUCAAAUAGAAAUGGUUAUAGCACAACAAUGCUUCAAGAAAACGCAGUAUUUAAUCAUUUGAAUUCACACCAAACACACAACAGUAAAACAUUUAGCAUGAGGAGGAAUGUCGUAAAAUUAUCUGCAACAAACAACCUCAAAUUAAUGAAAAAUAACGUUAAGAUGAAUUUAAAAUCAAAAAUGAUGAUGUAUUGUUAGGAUGCAUUAAAAGUGUGCACAUGAUUUGUAAUGAAAUUCACAGAAAGGAGAAAUAAUAAAGAGUACUGAAUGAUACUAACUAUAAGUCUUGUAACGUUGAUAAGUAAAAGGCACAGAAAGGACAAAGAGUCCUGUAGCGAUACUAACUAAAAUAAAUCUGUCAAUUGUGCUCUUGCUCCUACUAAAGUUAUUUUGUUUGUAUAUUUAUACAUGAGGCUAAUCUGAUGCAAAAAGUAGGACAAUUUUUUUUAUAAAAAUCGUAAAAUGUACACCAGUUGGAAACACCAAGCCUCUCCCCUUUCUUAGUUCUCGUAGUCUGAAGCCUCAACCUUUGUGGUGGAGUAUGGGACACCAUCAGCAGAGAUCUUCACAUCCUGAGAACAGCACACAUGAAGCACACAUGAUAAAAUAAUUUAUUAAGAAAUCAACACAAACAUACGCACAUACAUAAAUCAUUCAUAAAGUCCUUCUCUAAUAAACAGUGAAUGUGAAUAGUCAGUAUUAAAGUACAUUGAGAGACAGAUGGUAACUCUGAUAAAGUACGGUGUUAUAAUGUCUUACAGCCAGAGUGUCAUAUUCAGGUGAUCUGGUGGCGAGGUUGAGACCUGUGUAUGUGUCAUCAUCAGGACUAGACUGGACAGCCUGUCAAAAUAUACACAUACAUGGUUUAAUAAAUUAUCAAAUAAACACAUUAGACCUGAAUAUGAUUGGUCACUGGUUUUACCUUGAUGAGAGAAAAUGAAUGGCUUGUAGAUGGGUGCUAUUUGGUGCUAUAUCACCAUGUAUAUAAUACCAUUUUCUUUCUAUGAAAUUGGCCACAUUUGAGAAGGAUGGACUACAGUCAGAGUGUUACAGUCUUACUGCACUCUGUUUGAACACACAGUAACAAUGAAGUAUUGUAGCGAUGAACGGAGUGAAGGCUUCUCUUGGUGCUCAUCAAGCUAUGUAUUAUUAAUUAUUAUAUAUAUUUUGACACUGAGGUGUUUACAGUGUAUAUAUACUGUAUAUAUAUUGCAACCUCAGGUUUCAGUACACACUGAUCAAUAACAGUAACUA